Molecule: non-coding RNA, 1418 nt
Organism: Coffea arabica (coffee)
Lineage: Eukaryota; Viridiplantae; Streptophyta; Magnoliopsida; Gentianales; Rubiaceae
Source: RefSeq, a predicted model, not a curated record
AUUUCUUGUUUAGUUAUUUAGUUUUGCUGCUGCUAAUAGUCUUAUUUUGCAUUUAUGUCAUAUUUUGAUUUCUGUUUAGUAGAUUGAGGAAAAACGCAAGAAAAAUUCACAAGAAGAGAUAGAUUUAACUUUUUUAGGUUGUGAUCUUUUUUUUCCCCAAGUAUCUUUGCAGAUCACCUGAAAUUCAGCUUUCAAGUUAUAUUCUAUUCAUUGGUUUUCAUAAAGUAGCUAUAGGUAUUAUUUCUUAGUUUUGCCUUUUAUCUUUACUAUUGCCUUCUUAACAUGGAUGGUUAUGCAGCCAAGUUGUAUAUGGUACUGGGAGAUCCUGUUUGAAUUGUGCUUGGAAUAGAUGUCCUUUGUCAUUACUUUUCAAUUGCAGUAGUUGUGACUUUGUAUUUAGAGUAUGCAUAGAGUGGUGUACUUGCAUUUACAAGUGCGGUUAACACUUACUGCUAAAAUGGCUUAUGGGUGUCUGAGUUUUGCUGGGGAACCAAAAAUUUUUAUGCUGUAAUUUGCUUCAGUGCAAUAUUGAGUUUUUUUGUUGAGCUUACCAUGUCUGGUGUAUCAAAUUCCAAAAAGUCCUUGCUCCCAAAUUACAUUUGUGCAGUGCAAGAAAUUCUGUUACACAGUGAGGAAAAAGUGACCGCCAAAACCGUGUAUAUUUGGCCAAACUCUUAACUGUGAUUUUUUUUUUUAGCCAUCUCACCUUUUGUUCAAUUUGUUGUCUGGGUUUCAGAGUUUAACUUCUUCCUCCAUUUCUUUAUUUCAAAUAUUCUGUGCAGAAUGCAUUCAAUGGAAAAUGAUAUUGUUUCUUAAUGUUUAUGUGCCAUCAUCCUGUACAAGAUGGAAAGAUUUUUAUGUAUGCAGGGCUUAUGCUUGGUUCAGAGCCCAUGAUUGCAAUUUUUUUUCUUUUUGGGUUUUUUUGAGUAUCCAAAACUGAUCUGGUGUUUUUAAUAGGUAUUUUGUGUUAAGCUUAUUGCUGGUAGUGAUAGGAGGGAAGCUGCUCACUAGCUUUAAGGCUACUUAAGUUUGUUCUAUGUUUAGCCUUUUUCACCUUAAUGAGGUUGAGGAAAAUCACAAGGAAAUACUCAAAGGAGGAGAAAGAUUUAGCUUUUCAGAUAUGAGAGUUAAAGCAAAGGAGCUGGGACUGCUAACUGAGUCAUAUUUGAAGGGAAUGCAAUCAAUAUGCAAAUUGGUUGGCCAAGCGCAGCAGCAUCUAUGGUCCAUUAGAGUUACAAGUUCUUGAUGACAUUCUCGUAGAGAUGUGAGAUUUGUUGGAAGCUUACGUGUUAGUUGUUGCAUAUCCUAUUUUGUUUCUGUUUAAGAGGUUAUGACCUCUUUCAAUGUACCCAAAAACAAAAAGAAAAAAAAAAAAAGAGGUUCCUUUAUAAUGCAUAUCCUUGGUGCUUUUUGGAUGA